AUGGUGAAGGUGACGUUCAACUCGGCUUGGCCAGAAGGAGCCAAGAAGGAGAGCCAGAGCUGCGAGGAGGCGCUCAUCAUCCCCCCACACACACACCGUCGCGGUGGACUGCAAGGACCCAGAUGAUGUGGUACCAGUUGGCCAAAGAAGAGCCUGGUGUUGGUGCAUGUGCUUUGGACUAGCAUCUAUGCUUGCGGGUGUCAUUUUAGGAGGAGCAUACCUGUACAAAUAUUUUGCACUCCAACCGGAUGACGUGUACUACUGUGGAAUAAAGUACAUCAAAGAUGAUGUCAUCUUAAAUGAGCCUUCUGCAGAUGCCCCAGCUGCGCGCUACCAGACAAUUGAAGAAAAUAUUAAGAUCUUUGAAGACGAUGAGGUUGAAUUCAUCAGUGUGCCUGUCCCAGAGUUUGCGGAUAGUGAUCCUGCCAACACUGUUCAUGACUUUAACAAGAAACUCACAGACUAUUUAGAUCUUAAUCUGGGUAAGUGCUAUGUGAUCCCUCUGAACACUUCCAUUGUUAUGCCACCCAGAAACCUGUUGGAGUGACUUAUUAUCAUCAAGGCUGGAACCUAUUUGCCUCUGUCACAUCUGAUUCAGGAGCACAUGGUUAUUACUGAUCGCAGUGAAAAUGUCGAUCACCUGGGUUUCUUUAUUUAUCGACUGUGCCAUGACAAGGAAACUUACAAACUCCAACGCAAAGAAACUGUUAAAGGUAUUCGAGAAACGUGAAGCCAGGGAUUGCAUCGCAAUUCGGCAUUUUGAAAACAAAUUUGCCGUGGAAACUUUCAUUUGUUCUUGAAUAGUCAAGGAAAAU
Microcebus murinus (gray mouse lemur) is the source of this 815-nucleotide non-coding RNA. Lineage: Eukaryota; Metazoa; Chordata; Mammalia; Primates; Cheirogaleidae. The record is from RefSeq and is a predicted model, not a curated record.